GGCUGGGGACCGGAGGAUGGAGGGAUGUCAUGUCGCUGCGUUGCAACGUUACAGGCCUGGAAAAGGUAACCGGAUUUGAUUGUUUUUAUCGGUUUAUUUACUCGGAUAUUGAUCAGUUUAUCACCGCUGUAAGUGUUGAUUUGUCUUUUUAUAAAUCACCAUUAAAAUCUGAAGAGGAUUCUUUACUUAAUUCAUACAAAGAAAGACUAAAAAAAAAACACGUUUAAACAUAAUUUCUUAUGAACUCCACGUCAAAUAAAUGCGUAAAAAUAAGAAAUUAAACGUUUCCACUCCAUCUUUUGCUUUUUUUUUCUCCUUUAAAUGCAAACAGAUCCGUUCGUCUCCAGAGUGUGAGCUGUUUGCCUCAGAUAAACUUAUCGAUUAGACAUCAGUCAGAUUCCUGGCCGGCUCUUAUUGAGUAACUUGGUGAACCUUAAAGUGAAUUACAGGAACUGCUCUGCCCCUCCGGUGAACUAUUUAAGCCCAAUCGGAUUUUCUUUGAUAAAGACCAUCUAUUUUAUUUACUCUGAUCGCCAUUUUCAUCGAGGGGAUUAUUGUGAGGGCGAGUUUGUGCAGGUUUUGGAGAGGAGAACGAGUUCCUGUGGCGCGUAAAUCAUUUCAAAUCCUUCCAAAUUAAAAUCAUUUAAUUCAGAAAUAAAUCGAGACUUGGAGUAUUAUAUUCUUGUUGUUGUUCAUUUUAAUUCACCGUUUAAUUUUGCAGCUGAUGUUUAGUCAGUUAUGAAACAAAACGUGUGCCAUCACUGAUUCAAUAUGCAUUUCUCCUUUUUUUUCUGCAGGUGUCGAAAUAAAAAUCAACAAUUUCACCUAAAGUGCAGCUUCCAGAGGAUGCACCACUGAAGGAUGCAUAUUCUCCACUUUAGGGUUUCUGCACCAAUCUCUCACCUUUGCGCAAAAAUUUCCCUUCGUGUAAAUCAAUAGUGGCGUUUUUCUUCACAGGUGCAGUAAAUUAUACAUGUACAAUCUCAAAAAAAGGCGUUUCAAGUGCAAUAGAAAAUGCAUGUUUUGACGCUGCAUGCAAAGAUUUAGGGACUAUUUACGUUCUUGCUGUUUGCUUUGGUUUGAGGACAAAACCUCUGCAUUUGUUUCUGCUCCAGGUUUGUGCAAACUGCUCGAGGCCUAUUCAAAUAUAAGUAGGCAAGUGAGGAAAUGAGAAAGUCAAUAGAUCCUUGCAGAAAAGUACAAAAACAAACAAAACUGUCCGUGUAUUUAUCCUCCUUGUCCAUCCCUGACUCCUCAGUCCAAACCCCGGGCUGCUCCUGCUGCUGCUGCUGCUUGGAGAGAGCUCAUAUUAUUGGGCUACACAUGCGUCGUAUUGAAGUGUAAUUGGCCGUAUCAUUGGCUUUUGUCUUGUUUACAAAGCGGCCAACAGAAGCGCUAAUUUAAUUUCCUCCGCCGCAUUGAGGAGCCACCAGCCGCCUGUCAGGGCCGGGCUCUGCCUCUCCUGCCCCGGGCAGAGCAGGAGUCUGGCCCCGGGCGAUCCUGGAGAGGGACGAGGGUAGAGGAGGAGGAGGAGGAGGAGGGUGACAUCUGCCUCCAAAUAAAAGCCCCCAUGAAAAGACAACCUCUGCUCUCAUAUGGGUCAGCUGACAGAAUUCAUACACAUUAAAAGUUAGCUAUCCCUUUAAUGCCUGAAACCACGAAUUAUGGCCAGAAAAUUCACAUUUUUGUGGAGCUGAAAUGUUUAUUUCACCUACUACUGAAAACCAAAAUUAUCAAAAUGUUCUUAAAAUUUCAAUUUCAAAGUGCCUGACAGAGACUAAAAACAACAAUUAACAACAAUAAAACACAAACCUCCCACCCACACACACGGACUCACACACACACAAAGACAGAGUGUGAGAAUUUAAGAUAUAUCGUUAAAGAGACAUGGCCUGACAGCGAGGAAAGAGCUACCUUUGGGAAACACUGGAGAUAAAAGAUAAAAAAUAAAAAAAUGGUAAAAGGAAAGAGUAAAACCUGAUGGACUAAAACAAGAAAAUAAUAUUAAACGAACAGAUGAGUAAGGGGUAAAAGAAGUAAAAACCUCUAAAGCAGGAGUUAAAAAAAGACUAAGAACAGAGAUGAUUAAUUAAAUGACAUUGAUUAAAAUGAACAUUUGCAAUUAGAGGAAUAUAAAAAGUCAGUUAGUAAAAAGCCUGGUUUAAUAAAAAGGUGAGUCUUGAGCCUCUUUUUAAAAUUUAACAAAUAUAUUUAUUUAUCUCGUUUGAUACAUUAGAUGUUUUUGGAAACUGAUUAACUACAAGAGGACAUUUUUAUUAUUCAUCAGACUGUAUUCAGGUGGUUUUUUUAGUAAUUAGUUGAUCAUAGUGAUUUGACAGAAGUAUAUAACAGUAUGUAUCAAAUAUGACACAAAAGGCAUUAAAGGGUUAAAAAGUUAAAUUCCGUUAAAGAAAACUGGAAGAGUUUAUUUUAGGAGCAUCUUCGUCAAAUUUCUUCUAAAUACCUUAAUUUGUUUUCAUUGAAACAAAAAAAAAAAUCCAGUUUAUUUUUCUGCAUAUGUUUAAAUUCUGACUACAAAACUGCAAUAACUUCAUAUAUUUUCAUCAUUUAUCAGAGCUCAGUCCAGGUUUGUUUCUUCCUGUUAGUUAGUAAGAUUAAAAAAUAAAUAAAUAAAUGGUAACACUUUACUUGACGCCUAUCUCUAUAACACAUUAUAAAUAUAUGUAUAAUGCAUUAUAACGUGUUACGACUGUUAACAACUCACUGACAAUGUCCACAUAGAUAAUGCAUUAUACAUAUAUUUAUGAUGUGUUAUACUUUCUUUAUAAACUUGCAUAACUAUCAUCGUAAACACCCAUUAAUUAUCAUAAGGCUUUAUAACUAUAAGCAUAACACAUUAUAAUACCUGACCUUGUAAGUCAUGAUAAAAUGCUUUAUAAUGUGUUAUAAUCAUUGCUAUAAAGUAUUAUGAUCAUUUAUUAGUGUUUAUAUCUAUAGUUAUACAUUGCUAUGAUGUGAUUAUAAUGUAUUAUACAUAUAUUUAUAAUGUGUUAUAGAGAUAGGCGUCAAGUAAAGUGUUACCCAAAUUUUGAUUAUCAUUCUUUCUGUUGUUUGGAAAACAGCUCAGACGCUGUAGUGAUAAUAAGCCAUUAUAAACUGCUUUGAGAGUCCUCCAGAGCUGGAUUCAUUGAUCAUGUUUAUGUGGCUACAUUAGGCCUGAUGGAUUAACCGAAUAUGAGGAGAAAAAGGAAGAAGAAGAAGAAGAAGAGGAGGAUGGACAAAAGUCGAUUUUUGAAACACUCGCAGUUUAUAAUGAUGAUCACCGACUGGAGCCUGUUUGCCUUUUCAUUAACGGAUAGUCCAUUUAAAACACAAGAAGAAAAUGAUCGCAAAUUAUUGGUCAAGUGGAGGCCAUGAAGUACUCCAGGAGUAUAAAGAAAAAAACAGCAACUAAAGUCAAAUUUUUCAUUUUUUUAUUUUGUUGGUUUAUUUUUUAUUUUUUUUAUUUUGGAGCACAUGAUUUCAUUAUCUUGUUGUAACAAGUUUUUAUCUAGUGUACACAUCCUGUUUUCCAUGCACCAGUCUUAAUCUUGCGCGCUAAAAUAAUUCUUUUGAGGGAACAAGAAAAUGUUGAUAUCUUACAAGUACAAGAUAAUAAAUUGUGGACAUAAGAUGAUUAUUUUACGAGUUCAUUCUCUUGUGCACCGCAUAUAUUAUCUUGCAACUUCUUAAUUAUCUUGUUACCAUGCUACAACUAUCUUGUGAAAACAAGUUUUUAUCUUUUAGCAACAUCUUUUGGAGAAAAAAAAAAAUUAUCUAUAGUAUCUGCUGCCAAAAUCAACGUAAUAUCUUGUGCCCCCAAGAUAAAACAUCGUACACACAAGAUACUUGUUCUGUGUACAAAUACAUUUAUUAUCCUGCGCGCUCACUUUUAUAUUGUGAGUUAAUAAUGUGUGGGCAAAAUGUAGUAAUCUGCUUCUGCAGUACGUUGAUCUUGUGCGCUCAAGUUAAUAUCUUGUGUGCACAAGUAAUCUUGUUUGAACAAAUGAUAGUACUGUGUGCACAAUGCGUUUAUCUUAAAGAAAAAGUGAUUAUCUUGUGUGCACAACAUGCUGUUUUGUAGGAACAAGUUAAUAUCUUGUGCAAAUAAUUGAUUAUCUUGUUAGAAACAGUUAUCCUGUGUGCAUUAUAUUAUUAUCUUGUAGGAACAGGUGAAUAUCUUGUGUGCACAGUGCAUUCAUCUUGUGGGAGGAAGUUAAUAUCUUGUGCGCAAAAUUAGUUAUCUUGUUGGAAAAAGUUAUCCUGUGCGCAUGAUAUCAUUAUCUUGUGGGGACAUGUUAGUAUCUUGUGUGGUUACUUGCCAUAUUGUGGGAACAAGAUUAUCCUGUGUGCACAAUGUGUCUAACUUGCAGGAAUGAAUUACAACUCUUUGUAUUUAUUUUGUUGCGGCAGGUUAAUCUCUUGUACAAGUUAUCCUGUUUGCACAAUCUUGAGAGAGCUAGGUUUUCUCUUCUGCAUAUAACACAUUUGUUUCAUGUACACAAGAUAAUAACUAGAUCGCACAAGAUCGUCAUUUUACGAGAACAAGAUACAAUAAUUUCUACUAAGAGGCAGUAACCUUUUUAAAGUCACACUCUGCAGUUUUUAGGCCGUUUUAUUCCUUGAUUGAGAAAAUGAAAAUCUCCUUUCUAAUCUGGAUCCUUGCAGAAAUUAAAUAAUGAGUGAAUGUAUUUCAAACAUGAAGGAAAAGGGCUUUUUUUUUUAAAUUAACUCUUUGUUGACAGUGUACACAGCCGAGGAAGAAUGAAACACGCUCAGCUGCAUGUCCAUCUGUGUGUGUGUGUGUGUGUGUGUGUGUGUGUGUGUGUGUGUGUGUGUGUGUGUGUGUGUGUGUGUGUGUUUGCCAGACCAGAGCACAGAUAGAGAGAAAGAGAUGGCACAUUAGGCCUGAGGGUGCAUCAUUAUUAGACAGCCUGGCUUCCCUCCCUCUCCCCCUCUCUCUCUCUCUCUUUCUCUCUCUUUCUCUCUCGUCCAAUCACAGGAGCUGUUGCAGGACAAACAGAGCCUCGCUGAAUGUUGCACAGCAGCAGCAGCAGCUUCCGUGCGGGCUCAGCUCAGUUCCUGCUCUCUAAUUACGCCAUGAUACAAUGCAAUAUUCCUCUGCAAAUAUUCCCACAUAAAUUCAUUUCACAACCCAUUAAAGAUACAGCGGGUGAGAUCAUUUACAUCGCCGCGUCCCAGUACGAUACAGCGUGCAGCCGGCUUUUACAACACCGCCAAAUGCGCCAAGUCCCCUCGGUUGUACAGCAACCUGGUAGGCAUUAACUCAACAUAAUGUCUCACAAAUUAAAGUAUUGCUGGGGCUACCACUGCGGCAUCAGAUAAAUGUGCUCUAUUAGGAGGCCUCAUGCUGUGAGCAAAACAAUUGAUUGCUUGUUUGUGUUUUCAUAUGGCGUCGGUGAAACAUGCAGAGUGAUGGAUGAGGGCCCGCCAUCUCAAGUUGCACUUAGUCAAUCGCUGCCGGUGCUCUCCUCAGCUCAAAACGAAGACUCAGACAGUAAACGUGCACGCGCUUUUAUUUUUUUUAACCAAGUUUGGAGGCAGGAGACGGUGCGGGGAGGCUGAUGGGGGUUGAAUCUGGGCCAAAAAAGGCAGAUGUCGUGGAAGACACACACUGCAAGGUGUUAACUGCAAUCUUGCUCACACUGCAGGAUGUCAUGUUCAGUUUAUUAAUGCUGCCUGAGUAAGAAUUUUAUUUUGUUAGUUUAUCUCAGUUUCUGAGUCUUACUAUGAUGAAGAGUCACUGGAGGUUCAUCUCUGUUUGACAGAUUCAGCUGUACCCCCUGUAUAGAGCUAACAGGAGUCCAAAUAAAGUGGGAAAAGUGUUUUUUUUAACAUAUUUGUCGCCACAAUCUAGUGAGAAUUAACCAUCUAUAGAUAAAUAGACCAUUUGGAGAACAAGGGAGGCGGGUCUGUGUAUUAUCCAUCCAUUCAAUUAUUCCAUUCAAUCUAGUAAACGAAAGAAACGAGUCAAUAUUUUGUUCAUUUGUUUUUCUAUGUUGCUACAGGACUCCUGCGUCUCCUCUUAUCUUCUGUAUCUUCGGGUCAUGAGCAGAAUCAGUGUUGUGACUUUCAAUCUGUGAUCCAGUAAUGAAUACCUGCUUGAAGCUGUAAUCAUCCACUUAAACCAUUUGGAUUCAGCAGCUCAACCUUGUAAUGGGAUUAUUUCCUUUUUCCACUGGACUGCUCUGCCUUUAAACUGGGUUAGUUUGGAGAUAAUUUAGUAAGUACAUUGAGUAAUUUGACCAUUAUUGUUGUUAUCAGCUGCAGACAUGAAGGGUUGGUUCAAUAUCAGGAAGUUUACGAAUGAGAAAAUAAAAAACAAAACUGUGAUAAUAAUGUAAAACACUGACCUUUUCAAUGUUAAAUAAAGAUUACUGG
Molecule: non-coding RNA, 6402 nt
Organism: Xyrichtys novacula (pearly razorfish)
Lineage: Eukaryota; Metazoa; Chordata; Actinopteri; Labriformes; Labridae
Source: the annotation of a GenBank genome assembly